Micropterus salmoides (largemouth bass) is the source of this 417-nucleotide long non-coding RNA. RefSeq lists it as uncharacterized. The record is from RefSeq and is a predicted model, not a curated record. NCBI's taxonomy places the organism in Eukaryota, Metazoa, Chordata, Actinopteri, Centrarchiformes, Centrarchidae. The transcript has 4 exons.
CUAACUUUUGAAGGAGUAACGUCUGUCACAACAAUUGGAAUAGCUGCUUGAAAUGUGAAGAAAGAGAUGCCCGAAAUAAAAAACAUCAACGCGAUUAUAAAUCACGCUGUCGGAGUAAAUGCCUUCAAGGGAGCAGUGUUAACUUUAUCCUCAAAGUACCUGAAUCAGAGAUGUCAUCCCAGUACGGAGAGUCAAACUCAUAAUCGCCUGCCAGGAUCUUUCGGAACAGAUCACAACUUACAGUAUGUACAUGAUGACACCUGUUGCCCAGCAGUCCACAGGCCUGCCAUAUCGCUGUCUGCCCACCACCUCGGGAGCUGCACAAGAGCACAGAAACUUCAUCAAAAUCUGUACUCUGGUGUCCCACAGGGGUCUUUGAUUAGUCCGUUCUCCAGCUUGGCAAGAUGGAAGUCGCUG